UACGAGGGGGGCGAGCGUUGUUCGGAAUUAUUGGGCGUAAAGGGCAUGUAGGCGGUUACGUAAGCCCGGCGUAAAAUACCACGGCUUAACCGUGGGGCUGCGUUGGGAACCGCGUGACUUGAGUUACCGAGAGGAAACCAGAAUUCCAGGUGUAGGGGUGAAAUCUGUAGAUAUCUGGAAGAAUACCAGUGGCGAAGGCGGGUUUCUAGCGGAUGACUGACGCUGAGGUGCGAAAGCGUGGGGAGCAAAC
Molecule: ribosomal RNA, 250 nt
Filed under: uncultured bacterium
Lineage: Bacteria
Description: partial 16S ribosomal RNA
Rfam family: Bacterial small subunit ribosomal RNA
Source: RNAcentral